RNAcentral lists this ribosomal RNA (443 nucleotides) under uncultured bacterium. RNAcentral's name for it is "partial 16S ribosomal RNA". It matches the Rfam family "Bacterial small subunit ribosomal RNA", at positions 338 to 795 of the family's 1533-position model. The record is from RNAcentral.
CCUACGGGUGGCAGCAGUGGGGAAUAUUGGGCAAUGGGCGCAAGCCUGACCCAGCAACGCCGCGUGAAGGAAGAAGGCUUUCGGGUUGUAAACUUCUUUUCUCAGGGACGAAGAAAGUGACGGUACCUGAGGAAUAAGCCACGGCUAACUACGUGCCAGCAGCCGCGGUAAUACGUAGGUGGCAAGCGUUAUUCGGAUUUAUUGGGGGUAAAGGGCGUGUAGGCGGGUACGCAAGUCAGAUGUGAAAACCCAGGGCGCAACCCUGGGCCUGCAUUUGAAACUGUUUUUCGUGAGUGCUGGAGCGGCAAGCGGAAUUCCGAGUGUAGCGGUGAAAUGCGUAGAUAUAAGGAGGAACACCAGUGGCGAAGGCGGAUUGCUGGACAGUAACUGACGCUGAGGCGCGAAAGCGUGGGGAGCAAACAGGAUUAGAUACCCUUGUAGUC